Molecule: ribosomal RNA, 166 nt
Filed under: uncultured bacterium
Lineage: Bacteria
Description: partial 16S rRNA
Rfam family: Bacterial small subunit ribosomal RNA
Source: RNAcentral
UAGGGAAUCUUCGGCAAUGGGGGCAACCCCUGACCGAGCAACGCCGCGUGAGUGAAGAAGGUUUUCGGAUCGUAAAGCUCUGUUGUAAGAGAAGAACGUGUGUGAGAGUGGAAAGUUCACACAGUGACGGUAACUUACCAGAAAGUCACGGCUAACUACGUACCAG